UAAUGUAUGGGGAUCUGCCCGAUAGAGGGGGAUAACUACUGGAAACGGUGGCUAAUACCGCAUAAUGUCUACGGACCAAAGCAGGGGCUCUUCGGACCUUGCACUAUCGGAUGAACCCAUAUGGGAUUAGCUAGUAGGUGGGGUAAAGGCUCACCUGGCGACGAUCUCUAGCUGGUCUGAGAGGAUGAUCAGCCACACUGGGACUGAGACACGGCCCAG
This 219-nucleotide ribosomal RNA is filed under the name uncultured bacterium. Its description in RNAcentral is "partial 16S ribosomal RNA". It matches the Rfam family "Bacterial small subunit ribosomal RNA", at positions 111 to 334 of the family's 1533-position model. The record is from RNAcentral.